Bos taurus (domestic cattle) is the source of this 478-nucleotide long non-coding RNA. The record is from Ensembl. NCBI's taxonomy places the organism in Eukaryota, Metazoa, Chordata, Mammalia, Artiodactyla, Bovidae.
CCUCUGCCCCGCCCCCGCGGUCAGAUCAGCUUUCGAAGAAGCCGGAACCAAGUCCCAAAGUUGCUGCUCAACUGCUCAACUUGCGGCUGGCCGUGCCCAGGAGAGGUGCGAUAGGUCUAGCCCUAGUACCCCGCAUGCGCUCACUCCUGCGCUGGUCCGCUGAGCCACGACUGCCAGGGACCCCAAGAGCCAGGCCAAUGGGGACACCCGGGGAAGUCAGUGAGGGCAGCCUCUCAGACAGGGUGAUCCCUGCCCUGCUCCCAGGAUCCCCCAGGGUAUAAACUUCCAUCACCCUGAUUCAGGCCUUUUCUUGGCAGAACAACUGCAAAAGAUACAAAACUUAGUUGCUGUUGGCUGGCUGGUUUAAUUCAUUUGCAUAUACAUAAUUCAGUCCCACCCCUCGUGGCUAAUACCCUACUUGGGGAGCUGUGGCUGUUUUCUGAUUGCUGGUAGGAGGCCUAUGUGUGUUGUUUUUUUU